UUUAUACUCCCUCCGUCCCAAAAUUCUUGUCUUGAAUUUGUCUAAAUAUGGAUAUCAAGUCAUGUUUUAGUAUUAGAUACGUUCGUAUCUAGACGAAUUUAAGACAAGAUUUUGGGACGGAGGGAGUAUGUA
Molecule: non-coding RNA, 132 nt
Organism: Triticum aestivum (bread wheat)
Lineage: Eukaryota; Viridiplantae; Streptophyta; Magnoliopsida; Poales; Poaceae
Source: Rfam